RNAcentral lists this ribosomal RNA (255 nucleotides) under uncultured bacterium. RNAcentral's name for it is "partial 16S ribosomal RNA". It matches the Rfam family "Bacterial small subunit ribosomal RNA", at positions 524 to 776 of the family's 1533-position model. The record is from RNAcentral.
UACGUAGGUGGCAAGCGUUGUCCGGAAUUAUUGGGCGUAAAGCGCGCGCAGGCGGUCCUUUAAGUCUGAUGUGAAAGCCCACGGCUCAACCGUGGAGGGUCAUUGGAAAACUGGGGGGACUUGAGUGCAGAAGAGGAAAGUGGAAUUCCACGUGUAGCGGUGAAAUGCGUAGAGAUGUGGAGGAACACCAGUGGCGAAGGCGGCUUCCUGGUCUGCGACUGACGCUGUGGCGCGAAAGCUAGGGGAGCAAACGGG